Camponotus floridanus (Florida carpenter ant) is the source of this 1327-nucleotide long non-coding RNA. RefSeq lists it as uncharacterized. The transcript has 6 exons. NCBI's taxonomy places the organism in Eukaryota, Metazoa, Arthropoda, Insecta, Hymenoptera, Formicidae. The record is from RefSeq and is a predicted model, not a curated record.
UGAGGAAAUAAUAAUUGUGGAACUCUUAGGAGAAGAAGAUUCGGAAAUCGGAGAAGUUUCGUUGUCGCAUCACGAGACACCGGAAAACAGGCAAUUCUCAAGUGAAACCGGUUUACAUCCCUGAGAUAAGCGAAGCUAUUCGUCUAUAUAGCUUUGCCACAUGUUCUAAUGGAUCAUAUAUGGGACUUUGGACCUUUUGCACCAUAAGGGCCGUCAUCGUGCGCGGAUGGCAUCGGCGUUUCCGCGUUGUCGCGUUCAACUAGACUGAUAUCCCGAUUUCACGAUUGUGACCGAGUUAUCACAUUUCUGAUGUCAAUUAAGUGGUCAAUUAAUGUCUUAUUGAGGCUUGUUGCCUCGAUUUGUGAUUCUCGGUGUGAAACGGAUAUCUCGAUCUGUAAUUCGUACCGAAAUUCGGGAGUGCCGUCAAAGUAUCGCGCGUACAAGUGCGGAGAGAGCGAUAAAAGUAUCGCACGUAUAAGUGCGGGAGUGUCGAUAAAAGUAUCGCGCGUUUAAGGUGAAUAUUGACGAGCUGAGAGGAGGAGGAGGCCUAGGAGAGGCAUCGGGCGCCGAUGGAGCAAUCCUAUGAUAGCAGAAAACUUGGAAAUCGGAGAAGAUUCGCUGUCGCUCCAGACACCGGAAACAGGCAAUUCUCAAGUGAAACCGGUUUACAUCCCUGAAAUAAGCGGAACUAUUCAUCUAUACAGAUGAGUACCUGUCACCUGUUGGCUGCUCUAGCGCGGAGGUGACGGGGAAAAACAGAGAAGUAGAGGAGAAAAAUUUUAAUGCGGCACGCAAGUCAGGAAGGAAGAUGGAGAUGGACGAUAAAUCAAGCAUCGGUGCAUCACUCGAAGACUGAUUCCAGGUAAAGAAGCAACGAGAGAGGAAGAAUCGUCGAAAAGGGAGAUUUGCAAAGAGGGAGGAUACUCGAGUACACGUGGGAUAAGUAAAUCAUAGGAACACCAGCGGCACCAGAAACGCGUGCCAGGAGGAUUCGCUUGUUGGCGGAAGGGCCCUCCGCGGAGGACCUGCCGGCUCCUGGAAUCACGCAAGCAUGAAUCCGCCAAAGGAGUACCUCCUGCACCUGCAGCCCCCAAGACGGGGCGCGUCUACGCCAACCGUGCGUGAAUCCUCGGCAUGUGAUGCCGGGCAACCCUUCGUCUCCUUCUUUUGCAAUUCUUAAGUGACUUGUAUCCCGUAGAUUACUUCAGUUAUGAAACAUUAUAUAACAUUAUAUAAUUACAUUUAUAAUAGAAAAUCCGACUAUUUUACAGUAUUACUAAAACACAUUUAUUAAUUUUUGUCUUUAAUUAAGCAUCAGCUUAAAAUA